UGGGGAAUAUUGGACAAUGGGCGCAAGCCUGAUCCAGCCAUGCCGCGUGAGUGAUGAAGGCCUUAGGGUUGUAAAGCUCUUUUGUCAGGGAAGAUAAUGACGGUACCUGAAGAAUAAGCACCGGCUAACUUCGUGCCAGCAGCCGCGGUAAUACGAAGGGUGCUAGCGUUGUUCGGAAUUACUGGGCGUAAAGCGCGCGUAGGCGGCUAAUCAAGUCAGAGGUGAAAUCCCUGGGCUCAACCCAGGAAUUGCCUUUGAAACUGUUUAGCUUGAGUGUCGGAGGGGAUAGCGGAAUUGCUAAUGUAGAGGUGAAAUUCGUAGAUAUUAGCAGGAACACCGGUGGCGAAGGCGGCUAUCUGGACGACAACUGACGCUGAGGCGCGAAAGCGUGGGGAUCAAACAGGAUUAGAUACCCCUGUAGUCC
This 424-nucleotide ribosomal RNA is filed under the name uncultured bacterium. Its description in RNAcentral is "bacterial SSU rRNA". It matches the Rfam family "Bacterial small subunit ribosomal RNA", at positions 355 to 796 of the family's 1533-position model. The record is from RNAcentral.